RNAcentral lists this long non-coding RNA (699 nucleotides) under Calidris pygmaea (Spoon-billed sandpiper). RNAcentral describes it as "lncRNA (ENSCPGG00000017404.1)". The record is from RNAcentral. Lineage: Eukaryota; Metazoa; Chordata; Aves; Charadriiformes; Scolopacidae.
AAACCUCUUUGAUCUAAAUAAUGUAGUCACAAUUUAUUAUAUUAGCAACUAAAAGAGCAUCUUCAGACGCAACCUUAGAGCUGAAAUGUCCUAUUUCUCCCAACAACCCUGGCCUGUUUUGUGGUUGUAAUAGUUGAAAGUUAGUUCAGGAGACCUGCCAAACACAUUUCCCUGCCUGUCCCUUUGAGUGCAACGAAGAGACCGCAUGCCAGGUAGAUAAUCUUAAUAUCCUCAGACUGGAAUUAACAGUGUGUCCUUAAAUGUCAUGUGUUGGUCAACCACUAGCGUCUUCCAAGAGGAGUGCAGUGCAAUGCUUCCUGAAAGAAGGCUGGCUGACACAGAAGGAAAAUUGCAUGGGCUGUCAAAGAGGGUACAACAUGAAUAUGUGACGUUGGAUGAUGUCAAACAUGCUGCACUGCUUUUGAAAGAAGCAAAUGAGUCACAUCCCAUGCUAUCAUUUGCAGCAGUUUCAAGGAAUGAGAUAAUAGACGAGUUCCUCAUGGCCCUGCUCUUCUACCUAUCUUUUUACCUCGAAAAGCUCGCCCUGGAAAAGAAACACAGAUCCUUGAUUUCGUGAGUACAAGUCUUUAGGGGUAUAAGUGCACAGAGCUUGCCCGAGCAAAUCUGGAAUCAGUCACCAAAUAAUUUGGCUUCUCAAGGUAAUGCUGCAAUUUGAAUAAAUCGUUACUGCUACCACCA